UACGGAGGGUGCAAGCGUUGCUCGGAUUUAUUGGGCGUAAAGGGUAGGUAGGUGGUCUCAUUUGUCUGAGGUGAAAGCCUUGAGCUUAACUCAAGAAGUGCCUCAGAAACGGUGAGACUGGAGUCCUGGAGAGGGUCGUGGAAUUCCCGGUGUAGCGGUGAAAUGCGUAGAGAUCGGGAGGAACACCAGAGGCGAAAGCGGCGACCUGGACAGGUACUGACACUCAACUACGAAAGCGUGGGGAGCAAACAGG
Molecule: ribosomal RNA, 253 nt
Filed under: uncultured bacterium
Lineage: Bacteria
Description: partial 16S ribosomal RNA
Rfam family: Bacterial small subunit ribosomal RNA
Source: RNAcentral